AGGAGAGGGAACAUUUCUCUUUUUUAAUCAAAUGAUGUCACCUAAUGAGCACUCUGGCAUAUGCCUGCAUCGUCCAGCACGGCCACAGGAUACUAAUGGACACUGCACACUGACACGGCCCCACAGGGGGAACAAGAUCUGUAUCUUUUUUUAAUGUAAAGGAACACCUUCAGCACAUUUGGUAUGAGGAGUAAAGAAUCGUCUUUGAGCAUUGUCUGAAUGAGAGGACAUUGGACAGCAGAAAAAAAGAGAGGAAGAGAGAGAGGGGGGGGUGGGUUCAGGAAGGAGAGAAAAAGCAGACCAGUUACCGAAGUACUAAAGGACUAGGAACAGAGGUAGAGACAUAUGAGGAAGUACUCCAAA
This is a long non-coding RNA of Alosa sapidissima (American shad), 363 nucleotides long. RefSeq lists it as uncharacterized. The transcript is spliced from 2 exons. The record is from RefSeq and is a predicted model, not a curated record. NCBI's taxonomy places the organism in Eukaryota, Metazoa, Chordata, Actinopteri, Clupeiformes, Clupeidae.